Long non-coding RNA from Oreochromis niloticus (Nile tilapia), 1942 nucleotides. RefSeq lists it as uncharacterized. The record is from RefSeq and is a predicted model, not a curated record. NCBI's taxonomy places the organism in Eukaryota, Metazoa, Chordata, Actinopteri, Cichliformes, Cichlidae. The transcript is spliced from 3 exons.
GCUGAUCUUCAGAGAUAUCUGUGACCUGCGCUCCUUGGUCCUCAGAGCUUUAAUAGCAGCAGCUGUCUUACAGACGGGAUCAAGUAGAGGCUGUUGCUCCGGGGCGGGGCUGUGACACCGGCAGCAUGGUGGCGUACUCACUCCAGGACCUUCUACUCAGCAGAAAAUGUUUUCCAUUCCUGGGCCAAUGAAUGCCACCUUUGUCCCUUCAUCCUCCGUCUUGUGUGAGAAAACCCCCCUCACUGCACUCACCAAGCCUGCACAAACUUAACCUCUUUCCCCCUCCACCUCGCACAGGAAAAGAAACAUGCCGGCUCUGGAGCUUUGAUUCCAUCUUAGUAAUCUGGAGGUCUGGCUAAAGCCUUGGAAUAGAGGCCACUUUGGACAGACAGUUUUAAGUACCUUAGGGAGGAAAAAGGGUGAAAUGUGAUUGGAGCAAUUGUUAGGAUACUCUGGAUCAAAACAACAAAUAUAGGAUAAAGGCUGCUAUAUAAGAACAUAGAAAGAGCUGGAAAAAGAUGUUGGUUAUAGCUGCUUCGUCAAAGUUAAUUGUGUAGAGGUAGUUCAUACAAAAAAAGUGUGGUAAUUAACAGGGUAGGAGAUAUCUAUUAGUUCAAGGCUAAUUUAAAGCCCUGGGAAACAUUACUUAUCCUCAUUAUCAGCCUGUCCUCACCACAUUACCAAUUACCCUGCCAUUUUCACUGGAUUGGGGCAUGCUUAUUUUCCUGAAUCACUCAAAACCUUCCAAGCCCCGAAACACAUUUUACUCAUGCUACCACACACCACUCUUGUUCGGAUAUUACCCUAGAAACAAAGGACGUAAAACGCCUUAAUUUAAUCCAUUUCCAGUUUCUGUUAAACUCAAAGCCUCCUACACCGCCUGCAUGGCAAUAAUAUGACAUUAGGAAGAGGUAUUAAAUAGGUAUAGCACAUUGUGAAAUAAAGCUCCUUAUUAGAAACUGUUGAAACCUUGUAGAGAUUUAAUGCAUCGUUUAAUGCAUCUCUCAAAUGAAAGGAUAAGGGCCAUUAUUCCUGUGCCACCCAGGGUGUAAGGAAUUCCAUCUCUUCUCUAAAUUGAGUCUUACCCACAUUGCGACACACACACAAACACACACACACACACACACACACACACACACACAGAGGGCAUAACACUGAAUUAUAAUACAUUCAUUUCCUGGAGACUCAUCUUAACCAUCCAAUCCAGUAUCAUAGGAUGUCUUGUCAUAUCUGUUGCUCGUCUGUCUGUCAUAAUAUUGCCAAACAUUCCCAAAGUGGUAGCAGUAACACCCUGGGAUGUUGUAGUGAGCAGUUUUUUCUUAAUGUUGCAUAUUUUAAUAAGGUUUCACUAUAUUUAAAAAAUAAGAGAUAAUCAGUUUUUUAAUACUCAUUAAAAGAUAUCUAAGUUGAAACAGUUUUUUUUUCUUUCAUUGGAAUAUUCUUUCUCUCUGUGGUGGCCAAAAUCAAUCACAAUCUUUGGUCUGUACAAAAACCGCCAGCUUACGUUUAACUGAGGCUUGAUCAGAUUUAUCUGGUGGCUAUAAUCAAAACUGACAAUCCUUUUAAUUUGAAAUUCCUUUUUUGUGUUUCUCUGGGGUUUGUGUCCUUAUCAAGUUACACUGUUGGAAUAGUAAUGCAAAGUGAGGAUUUUAUUUAAUUCAGCCUCUUGUAAGCUUAUUGGCCGCAUCACAUUAAGAAGAGAUGAUUAAAAGUCCAGUAUUGGUAGGAUGUUUGAUUACAGCAUUAUUCAGUCAGACUUGAACAAAUCAGAGCCUGUCUUUUAAAUCUGUAACUUUAACUGUUCAGCUUGAGCUCUAACUUUUAAUAAUAAUAAGCAUACUUUUUGACAAAGCUUAUUAUGACACUGUACUCUCCCUGAUGUACUGACCGUUUCUUCUUCACUUACAUAUUUUCACUCACUGUUAUUAUUAAACUCUGGCUC